CCUUCCGGCCAGUGGGGUGAAAGACCUGAGUGAACGUGGGAGCCCCACGCCUGAGGACUCCUCCUGCGGGUGUAUCGUUCCUGACAGAUUCUCCCACAGAAGGCGAUCGCGUGUGCUGGCUACCUCCCCUCCGUCCACCUGUCUCCUCUCUGUCCAGGUCCCACGUAUGAGUGCCAUCACCUGUCUUGCUCUGCCUGACUUAUUUCACGGGGCAUAACGCCCUCCAGGUGCAUUCACGUUGUCUGAUUUGGAAUCUUAACGCCACGUGCAGUGUCCCCUUCACAGCAGCACCUAUGUGAGCUUGGGGAGGAGGCGUGUGUGCCCCGGGGGGGGGGGGGGGGAGAGCAGGAAUCUUGGGAGCCAUCUGAGAAUUCUGCCCUACAACGAGGGAUCGGUGGAGACGGGAGGAGGUAGGGAGGGCCUCCUAGGGGAAGCAUAAAGGGAAAGACAAGGGAGCCAUCCCAGGCAAAGAGAAGUGUCCAUCCAAGGCCGUGAGAUGGGAAGGCUGGCAGGUGCCGCGAGCCUGCAGAGCUGUUCCGGGGAAAAGAGCAGCCAGUGCACUGGAGAAUGGGCGUGAUAGUAAAUAGUAGCUACAAUUGUUACUCUGAUACUAGAAGUCUGGGAGGACUCGCUUUCUCUCUCUGGCACCCCCCCCUCCCGGUGACCUUGGGUGGGUCACUUCUCUCUCCCUGGCUCCACGUCUGGUGCCGGCAACGCCUCUCUUCCCCCCGCCCCCCCCCCCACCUCCUUGAGACAACAGAGCUGAGUCGGGAGGAGGCCACAAGUUGGGCACAGCCCCAGCGGUGGCAAAGGACGGCGGCCGGGGCUCGGGAAGCUGGGCGAGUGGCAGCAAAUUUGUAUGUGGUGCGGGUCUGUGCCAGGCACAGUGCUGGGCGUGGUGAGAUAAGGGGCCCAGGAAGAGCCCGGACUUGGCCUCUGGGGCUGAAUUCCAAACCGCCCCCCAGGAGGCCGGGAGCAGGCAGUGGAAACCGCCCACCGUGGGCUUGGUGCCCGGAGGAAGGCAGAGCCUCCACGGUCCUGGAUGCCUGUGGGUCGGCGGCUUGGAGCCUGGGAGCCUCAGAGCCCCUCUGCAAGGGGAGGGCGUCCCCGCUCCGACUCAUGUGCUGGGUCCCCUGGCUCCUAUGGACCACAUCUUAAAGUGCCCCUCCUCGGAAGCCCUCCAGGACCACCGAGCCAAAGUCACAGCUUGAGCCAGAAGCCCCUGCGUCUCCAGCAGCACCGCCUUAUUCUUUCUCUCUCUCUCUUUUAAAUAUUUAUUUUUGAGAGAGAGAGAGAAAGAAAGAGAGGGAGACACAGAAUCGGAAGCAGGCUCCAGGCUCUGAGCCGUCAGCACGGAACCCGACGCAGGGCCCGAACCCAUGAGCCAUGAGAUCAUGACCUGAGCUGAGGUCGGAAGCUCAACCGACUGAGCCCCUCCAGGCGGCCCUGCUUUAUUCUCUCUCGAUGGCAUUGAUACAGGUGACCAGGGCGGCACCAUCCGUGGUCAGUCAAGUGGAUCCACGUGCUCCCCCUCCCCCCACACCGCCCCCUCUGAGAGGACGUGCUCAGAAAAGCACUUCGCUGUCAGCUGGCUUCGGGUUUCUCCCCAGGACGCCCCAAAGCGGUCAAAGUCCUCAAAACCCAAGGCAAGUUUGGGAAAUGAUCACAGACCAGCGGAGACUUGAGAAGGCAUGACAGAGGCCGGGCGGUACCCCGGGUGGGGUCCUGGAACAGAAAAGGGGCAUCAAGGGAAAAUGAGCUAAAUCUGAGUAACGCCUCGCGUUUUGUUGACAGCAGUCUAGUGGCUUUGGUUCCUGGGUUUUGAGAGAUGCGCUGUGGUAACGGGAGAGGGUAGCACGAGGGGGCCCUGACUCGGGGACACAUGGGAAGUCCCCGUACUAUCACUGCAAAUUCUCUGUGAACCGAAAACUUCU
Molecule: long non-coding RNA, 1934 nt
Organism: Prionailurus viverrinus (fishing cat)
Lineage: Eukaryota; Metazoa; Chordata; Mammalia; Carnivora; Felidae
Exons: 3
Source: RefSeq, a predicted model, not a curated record